RNAcentral lists this ribosomal RNA (122 nucleotides) under uncultured Mycobacteriales bacterium. The record is from RNAcentral. Lineage: Bacteria; Bacillati; Actinomycetota; Actinomycetes; Mycobacteriales.
GUUUCGGCGGCCAUGGCGAAGGGGAAACGCCCGGUCCCAUCCCGAACCCGGAAGCUAAGCCCUUCUGCGCCGAUGGUACUGCGCGGGUGACUGCGUGGGAGAGUAGGACGCCGCCGAACAUC